AAUAUUGGGCAAUGGGGGCAACCCUGAUCCAGCCAUGCUGCGUGUGUGAAGAAGGGCUUCGGAUUGUAAAGCACUGUAAGUUGGGAGGAAGGGCUUUAGGUUAAUACCCUGAAGUUUUGACGUUACCAACAGAAGAAGCACCGGCUAAAUCUUUGCAAGCAACCGCGGUACAACAGAGGGCGCAAGCGUUAAUCGGAAUUACUGUGCGUAAAGCGCGCGUAGGUGGUUCAGUAAGAUGGGUGUGAACUCCCCGGGCUUAACCUGGGAACUGCUUUCAUAACUGCUGAGCUAGAGUACGGUAGAGGGUAGUGGAAUUUCCUGUGUAGCGGUGAAAUGCGUAGAUAUAGGAAGGAACACCAGUGGCGAAGGCGACUACCUGGACUGAUACUGACACUGAGGUGCGAAAGCGUGGGGAGCAAAC
Molecule: ribosomal RNA, 421 nt
Filed under: uncultured bacterium
Lineage: Bacteria
Description: partial 16S ribosomal RNA
Rfam family: Bacterial small subunit ribosomal RNA
Source: RNAcentral